UUUCGGAGAGUUUGAUCCUGGCUCAGGACGAACGCUGGCGGCGUGCCUAAUACAUGCAAGUCGAGCGGAUUGAUGGGAGCUUGCUCCCUGAAGUCAGCGGCGGACGGGUGAGUAACACGUGGGUAACCUGCCUGUAAGACUGGGAUAACUCCGGGAAACCGGGGCUAAUACCGGAUAGUUCUUUUCCUCGCAUGAGGAAAAGUGGAAAGGCGGCUUCGGCUGCCACUUACAGAUGGACCCGCGGCGCAUUAGCUAGUUGGUGAGGUAACGGCUCACCAAGGCAACGAUGCGUAGCCGACCUGAGAGGGUGAUCGGCCACACUGGGACUGAGACACGGCCCAGACUCCUA
This 349-nucleotide ribosomal RNA is filed under the name Rossellomorea vietnamensis. RNAcentral's name for it is "bacterial SSU rRNA". It matches the Rfam family "Bacterial small subunit ribosomal RNA", at positions 1 to 341 of the family's 1533-position model. The record is from RNAcentral. Lineage: Bacteria; Bacillati; Bacillota; Bacilli; Caryophanales; Bacillaceae.